GCGUCGUAUCUCAGUUGGAUAGAGCGCCACCUUCCGAAGGUGGCGGCCACACGUUCGGAGGGUGGCGGGCGCGCCA
Molecule: transfer RNA, 76 nt
Filed under: Ancylobacter pratisalsi
Lineage: Bacteria; Pseudomonadati; Pseudomonadota; Alphaproteobacteria; Hyphomicrobiales; Xanthobacteraceae
Description: tRNA-Arg
Source: RNAcentral